Molecule: long non-coding RNA, 5756 nt
Filed under: Phaseolus vulgaris (common bean)
Lineage: Eukaryota; Viridiplantae; Streptophyta; Magnoliopsida; Fabales; Fabaceae
Description: long non-coding RNA (PVUL_LNC001121)
Source: RNAcentral
CAAAGAUCACGAUGCCAGGUUGGGACAUUCUUGUAUGUUAGUCGGGCAGUAACAUCAAACAUGAUAAUCGCACAUUGUCCAUGGAUACUGCAACAUAAGAUACCAUUUAACACAACAUAAAGGGUUGGUAUCACAGCAUAACAAAUAAAAUUCUUACACACCUUUUCAUUAGAAAAUUUAGGCCUAAAUCAAAUCUAUAAAACAGGCUUGCAAUAUAAACCUAUAUUCUAUAAUUUGACCAACAAUUUCCAGUGGAACAAAUUAAAAAACUAAAUGCAAUAAAUAUAUGAGUGUGUGUGUCUAACAGUCGUCAUACAAAAAAUAAAAACUAAAAAGUGCAGGUAACUUCCAUGCAAACUACAACAUGCAAUCAGAUACACAUAGAAUACUGUUAAAAGAAAAAAAUUGUGGACACAAGACUUACUAGUAUCCAUCCCUGAGACCACCAAACUUCUCCUGUCCAGCAGUAUCCCAGCAAUAGAAUCGAAUCUUUCCACAAUUAGUGAAAAAAUCCAACGGGUGAACCUCCACACCAAUUGUUGCUGUUGUGAAAAAGCAAAAUCAAGAUAAACAAGAAGUUUGAUUUGAAAUAAAUGUUAAACACAAAACCUUAAUCUUAAUUAUAAACUAAUCUUACGUUCGUAUUUCUUCUCGAAUUCCCCAGUAAGAUGCCUUUUCACAAAGGUUGUCUUUCCUGGAAAUUUCAUCACAAAUAAGUUCACAUGCCAAGGUAUAACCAGAUCGCUACAACAGAAUAACCUUUAAUAACUGAAAACACAGGCUAAAUGGUGAAAAUAAGAGUGAGAAAAAAGAAGAAGAAAAGAUAACCUGUGCCACCAUCGCCGACGAUUACGAGUUUGAAACUCGGGUAAUCCACAGUUUGCUGAUUGGGCAAAGCCUGCAUCGAAAAAGAUGAAGAAUAAACGGAAGUGCGAAAUAAAAGUGGAAAGAAAAGCGUUGAAAGAAGAGUUCAAUAGCAUAUAGCAUACCAUGGAAUGGGAAAUGUAGCUACGCUGUGUUGGGUUAAAGGUAAUGAACGAGAAAUGAUCAAAGAGAUAUGGGUUUGUGAGAGAAAACACCCAAGCGAGGGUUUAUAUGGUAAGGGUUUGAAGUUCCGUAUUUUGAAUGAACGCGUUACCCUAACGCAACGGUGUCCACCCUCUGAUUACGCUCACUUUAAAUUUGAAUUCAAUCUUUAACUGGGCUCGGCCCAACGCAUAAGCUCUCUAGACUUCUUCUUGAUUUUAGAUAGAUUCUCACUGCACCAUAUCAUAUUCUAUUGACACCAAUAGGUUAAUAUGGAAUUACUGUUUUACCCUUAAUGAAAUAAAAUUAGAUUAAAUUUUAGAUGCACCAACACCUAACACUCUCCACACCGCAUUCAUUCUUCCGGAUCAUUCAGGCAAGGGCGAAAUUCAACAUAUUCGAAAUUCCAUUCACCAGCGUUCUUAAGUCAUGACAACGACGACAGUAGCGUAACGAAAAGGAGGUGUAGUUGACGGAGGAGGAUACGCAGUAAAAAACAAGUAAUACAAAAUGGUAAAGUUAUAUAUAUGUGGAAGUGUUUUUAUGUGUUCUAUAAGUGUAUAUCCAAAGGGGUUGUAGAUGAUUAUGUCUGAAAGGAUUUUUUAUUUAUUUAUUGUUUUCAGAUAUAGAUUGUAUGGGUUUCGGAUGAGAAAAUCCAUAAGGUAGUGUUUUCAAGUGAUUCUGAAUGUGGAAAUAUAAAAGUUAGUGUAGGUGAUUUUUUUUAAUUAAUUUUAUCGUAUUUUAUGAUUAGGAACUUGGUGAGAACUAGAGGAGAAUUUUAUUUUUAAUGUGGACCAUAUGCGACCAACUACAUAUGUGAGAAGAAGGUGUGGUAGUUAUAAUACUUUAGUUAUAAAUAAGAACUUUGAAGAUUAUAUUAAACCAGAAAAAGCUUUGUGUGGAAAAGAAUACAAGUAAGCCUGAUGUUAGCACGAUGAGCAAUGUAUGACAGAGAUGUGUAUGUCAUAAGACAUUCACGUAAGAAUGAUUGAUUAUGUAUUAUAACAUUUGUUGUAAUAUUUUUAUCCAAGAAUGAUGUUGUUUGAACUUGAUAUUUAAGUAUAACUUAAUUUUGUUUUGACCAUAUAAAUACAUUUUAAUGUUGAUUUUACUUAUAUUAUUUUAAAUUGGUUUGGUUUAGAGGGUUUUAAUCCAUUAAAAAUACCAAAAUCAUCACACACUGUAAAACAAAAAAGAUGAGAAAGAUUGAUUUCUAGAGAUGUAUAUACGAAAGUAUGGUGGUACCUUCCGAAUAAAGAUGUCCAUAGUCAAAUAAUACAAUUUUGAAUGACGUAGAUAAACAUGACACUUUUUGAUACCAAUAUUAGUAGGCAAAACUAACACUUCCGAAUGUUAAUAUCCAUAAGUAAAUAUGUGACUUCCGAAUAUUAAUAUUCGUAUACAAAUAUGUGACAAAGAGAAAAUUGGAUUUAAAAACUUACAUAGGGUGUAUAUAAAAAAUAUAUGGUGGAGGGAUAAAUUGCCUUGAUUUUAUUAUUAUUGGGUCAAAAUAUUCUGGUUCCCUGAUUUUAUUUUAUCAACUUCGGAUUUUUAAGCCACUAAAAAAAACUUUGGAUUCGUUUGGGACAUAGUAUCGGCAAUUGUUUUGCGUCAAAUUCUUCCAGCACCUUAUAAAUUGUGACCCGCACCAAAACUUUUUUAAAUUUCCAAAAUUAUCUUUCAUUUCAAAACUGAAAAUUCGAAAUUUAAAAAAUAUAUUCUGAAAAAUAAAUCUAAAAUAGAAUUUUAUGUUCUGAAAAUAUAUCUAAAAAAAAUCAAGAUCACAUUUAAAAAAAUAAUUUUAGAAUACGUAUUCUAAAUCUAGAAAUAUAUUAUAUUUUUUUCAUUUUACAUAUAAAAAAUUGUAAUCCGAUUCAACUAAUUUCUUUGCGUUGCUUUGGUCGUUAUCGUUAUUAAAAAGAACUGGAUUUCAUCAUUUCUAAAACACUGAUUAAAGAUUUAUCAAUUUAAAAAAAAGGGAAAUACUUUAAAUUAUAUUACACGUUAGUCAUGGAUCCCACACCUUAAAGCUUUCUUUCUUAAUUUCUUGUUUUUUAAAAUACUGUAUUUUAUUUUAUCUUAGGUUAUAUAUAUAUAUAUAUAUAUAUAUAUAUAUAUAUAAGGAGUGUUUCCUAAUUACUUCCAUAUUUUCCUUUUUAAAUGACAGAUUUUUAACAUGUUUUGUUUUAAUUUAAUUAUUUUUUGAUAAUUCAAUAAACAUUUUUUUGUCAAUUGUACAUUUCAUCCCACCCAAAUUAUAAUUAAUUUACAUAUAUUUAUCAUAAUGUAGAAAUAGAAAAAAAAAAUAUAAUUAUUUUACUUUUUAGGUUUUGCCCAACAAACUUUAAACAUAAUAUUAAAAGCAAGAAAGUGCAUCAUAAUGUCCUUAAUCUCUGCUUUUGCAGUAAUAUGCUUUCUAAACAAAUUAAAAGCCACUGAUCAAAUGUACCAAAUGCAGCACGAUCCUACCCUUCCAAUAUCACAUGCAAUGCUGUGGAAGCUAAAUUGGACUAAUUUUCUCAGAAUCAAUUCAUCUAUUGAUAAAUCAGUUUGAAUUUAUUUUUCAAAAUUUAAGCGUUAAAUAAGUUUAUACAUACAUAAAAAAAACAUUAUAAGCUUUAAAGAUAAAAAAAUUACUGGCGAUAAAAAUUACAAGAACGAUACACUAAAAGGUACAUAAAUUAAAAUAUAACCAUAUAAAUAACUCUAGACGAAAUAUAUUAUAUAAUUUUUAAUUUUAUUUUAUAACAUACCAGUAUUUAUAUUUAUUUAUUGUUUUAAAUUGUAAUUUAAUAGUAAUAGUAAUAUAGUUAUGUAGUUAUAUAAUCACAAAUCAAAUAAAACUAAUAAACCAGAAACCACUAUCUUACCAAUUCAACAACAAAUUAAUAAAACCACAAACCAAGAUUUGGCGCGCAUGACGAUGAACCUAUAAUUCUAAUUCAUUAAAUAAUCACUCGAGUUCUCUCAAAAAAUAGUCAUAAAUUUAUCUAAACUACAUAAAAAAAAUACAGUUUUAAAACCAAUUAAAAUUAAGUUAUUUGAUUUUCUCAUAAAUUCGACUGUUUUUUCUAAACUAAUUUUACAAAUAUAAACAAUCACAAAUUAGUCUUUUUCCUAAUUUCUGAAAGGAUAAUUACGAUACUAUUUUACAUUAAAAUGACGUAGUUUAUGUUCUGUGAAAAUCAGACCCAUUAUUCUUAUUUCUAUAGAUCUAAAUAAUAUUAGGGAGCCUAACUAUCACUACAAAGCAAUCAGUUUUAAGUUUAAAAAAAAUGUGUACUGUGAAAUGCAACCAAUUUCUUCACCGUUGGAUAAUAACUGAAUCAAAUAGCACAGCCUCGUGUUUUAGAAGACAAAAAUAAUUGUCCAAGCAACCAAUCCACAUCUUAAAAACACCCACAAUAUAGUAAAAAUGAGAUUUAAUUUAAGCAACGGAUCUCGGAUUAUAAUUGAAUUCAGAUGUCGAAUUCAAAUCCAAAAAUGUCAACACUGCAACCCCCAAAAUUACUUCAGUAGCAUACAAUACCAACGAUAAGGAUGACAUUCCAUAAACACACUACAUUGAUCCUCUACUCAAAAGUGUCAUCGUCAUCGUCAGGAAGGGGCUGACUGGCAGCUGCAGCAAGCUCAGCUUCAUGCCUGCAAAAGUCACCAACACAUUAAUAUAAGAAACAAUCAAAUCAAAUGAAAACAAUAAUAAAUGUAAAAGACCUUCAUGAAACAAGCAGUGCAUUUGUGGAAUUUAAAACAUAUGAACGAGAUGUCGAUGUUGGCAGGGAAAGAGUAUUAUUGGAAACAAUUCCCAUGCCCCAUGAUUAAUUAAACUUAACAUUAUGGGAGUCACUUUUAACUACAAUUCUCCUCACUACCUACAAUCCACUUUUAUAAAGCAUUUUUAACUCAACGCAAUUUGGCAAUCAUAAAACAUAAAAGGGUGAUGGAAUCGGAGAAACGAUGAUGAAGCUCAUGGACAGAUGGACUUACUGUUGUUGUGCAGCUAAAUCAAUUUGAACUUCAGGUGGAGCCAAUGCAGGAGAUUCUACAAAGUGCAAGUUAGGAUCCCUGCAGAAAUGUCCCAAGUAGCAAAACAUAAGUUGACAUGCAUUUUAAAACGUGUAAAUAGAAAUUAUGAAGUGCAAACUCUGGCUAUACCCUGCAAGUUUACGAGCAAGAUACAAGAAUGGCUUCUCAAAGUUGUAGUUACUCUUAGCUGAGAUCUCAUAAUACUGCAAGUUUUUCUUCCGGUGGAAAGUAACCUGCUUUGCCUUCACCUGCCUGUUCUUGACAUCAACCUUGUUACCACAAAGAACAAUUGGGAUGUUUUCACAGACCCUGAAAAAUCAUUCAGACAAAAAUUGCUCAUGGUGUCAAAAAACCACACAAUUCCAAAAAUUGGAGACAACACAUUCAAAAUGGCUUAGAUGAUUUCAUUUACGAACCUGCAAAGAUCACGAUGCCAGGUAGGGACAUUUUUGUAUGUUAAUCGAGCAGUAACGUCAAACAUGAUAAUCGCACAUUGCCCAUGAAUACUGCAACGUAGAAUACCGUUAAACACAAGUAAUAGGAGUUUGCAUAACUGAAGAAUUCAAUAAAAACUUAGAGACACUUCCAGGGGCACAAAUUAAAACCCUCAUGGUAGAAAUGAGAUUCUAUACAUCUAAACACAUUAAACCUAACAGAAAUAAAAACUACGAAUACUAGUAACUACCAUACAAAGCAACAACGCC